ACGAACGCUGGCGGCGUGCUUAACACAUGCAAGUCGAACGGUGAAGCGCCUUCCUUUUUGGUGGGUGUGGAUGAGUGGCGAACGGGUGAGUAACACGUGAGUAACCUGCCCCCUUCUUCUGGAUAACCGCAUGAAAGUGUGGCUAAUACGGGAUAUUCUGGGUCUGUCGCAUGAUGGGUCUGGGAAAGAUAUUGUUUCGGUGGGGGAUGGGCUCGCGGCCUAUCAGCUUGUUGGUGGGGUGAUGGCCUACCAAGGCGGUGACGGGUAGCCGGCCUGAGAGGGUGGACGGUCACACUGGGACUGAGACACGGCCCAGACUCCUACGGGAGGCAGCAGUGGGGAAUAUUGCACGAUGGGCGCAAGCCUGAUGCAGCGACGCCGCGUGAGGGAUGGAGGCCUUCGGGUUGUGAACCUCUUUCGCCAGUGAAGCAGGCCUGCCUCGUUUGUGGGUGGGUUGACGGUAGCUGGAUAAGAAGCGCCGGCUAACUACGUG
RNAcentral lists this ribosomal RNA (493 nucleotides) under uncultured bacterium. RNAcentral's name for it is "partial 16S ribosomal RNA". It matches the Rfam family "Bacterial small subunit ribosomal RNA", at positions 29 to 507 of the family's 1533-position model. The record is from RNAcentral.